Mercenaria mercenaria is the source of this 4746-nucleotide long non-coding RNA. RefSeq lists it as uncharacterized. The record is from RefSeq and is a predicted model, not a curated record. Lineage: Eukaryota; Metazoa; Mollusca; Bivalvia; Venerida; Veneridae. The transcript is spliced from 3 exons.
UUCAGGACCAGCAGCGACUGCCGUAGUAAAUGAACAGUGGAACAAUUGCAGGCCCACUCCAAGAGACCCAGAUCUCGAGCUUACUGUCGUCUGCAGAACAACAGACUUGCCAGUACUGACCAGAUCUACAUAUCAGCAGUAUGAGCGUACUGUGGUCUUAAGGGAACCAAAUCACACAUUGGUUCCAUCAGGAGGUCGACUUUCUGCGAACGAAUAUGUUGUCAGAAUUGGAGAGAUUCUUUUGAAAUUCAACCAAUGAUAUAGACACUUAAACCUUGGAUUUUGGCAUAUAAGUGUUAUUUCAGGGGAAAAAAUGUAUAAUUUAGUUUGUGAGAUUAUGAAGACAAAUAUGUGGCUACAUGAAAAGUAUGUUUCACUGAUAUUUUGAAAUGUUUAAUUUUUACUUUAUUGAAUUGAUAAAUUAUGUAAAACUUCAUACAAAAUAUCUCUAUAUGAAGUGGUAAUAAGUGUUAACUGAGUCAGAUUUUGAUUGAGUUUCUAUGGCUCUAUGGCUGUGUUUGGGUGCUCUGCGUUUCCGGGAAAUCUACCCUUACCUUUUAUCUUUCAUAAACUAAGCAGUUAAGAUACAUCUGAAUGCAGAAUAUUAUUUUAAAUCUCCAGGACAGGAUAAACCUGAUAACAUGAUACGGUAGUAAUAUAGUGUGCUUACCGAAUUGAAAAAGGUAAGCAUCAUGAUAAUUGAUAAUAUGUUUGUAAAAUUCAAUCAUUUUCGUCUAAAUGAAAAUACCUUUCAUGAAAAGUCAUCGGUUUUCUAUUGUAAAUUUACCUCUUAAUUAAGUUUAAAUCCGUGUGUUUAAUUUUUCAGAAGCCAGUAUUUAUUAUAAUUCUAGUUUACAAAUUUACAUCCCCAUAACUAGCGCUUUAAGAGUUUUUCUAUGAAUUCUCGACAUAUUUUAAUUAACAGCCUUUUACCUCUUCAUAAAAACAUCUAUGUCUGUCUUUCAAAGAAAUGGAAGCAAAUGCAAUCAUGCACAAUCAGCUCUACUGUGUAGUUCGUUGUUGUUGUUUUACUCCUUGUCUUUUAUUGUUUAGAUUUACGGUAAGGUAGUUCUACACUUAGAUCAAAUAUUUUAUACAAUGUAGAUAUGACUUUCAAAACAUGUUUAUAUUCAGAAAAUUCAGCAAAUAAUAAAACUUGAUUUUUGCUACGUUGAUUUGAAAAAGUUGGACAUAUAAAAUGAUCAUAUAAAUUUUGAUAUAAUGAGGGUCUAUGCUAAAAUCAUAAUAGAUAUAUGACACUUAGUAGAUGAAGCUUUAAUACGUUUCAUUCUUAUUGUCAAAGGUUGUUAAAUCAAAAAUAAAAGUAAUUUACCUCGUUGUCUCCAAUUAGUCGAUGGUUUGUGAUUGCCUAAAUAUAUUUUUUUCCUUUUUGACUACAGUGCAUUCGCGAUGCUACGAAUCGCAAUUUAACGAAAUAUCGUUAUACUUAGAAAAGGUGUUGUGGUCCCGGCUGCUUUCCUUCUUAUUUCUAUGUUACAAAGUCGCGGUUUUACGAAAAUGCAAUUUUACGAAAAAUGCGCUCCUACGAAUGUAUUUUUAUGCCCUUAAAGCCUGUUUUCAAUUUGUUUUAGUUGCGAUUUUACGAAUACAUGUAUCGUCUAAGUUUUUACACCUUCCAUAAUGGCGUGAAAAACACUUUACAGUGGAAAGUGUCACGAUCAAUUAGCUUGGCGUAAACAGUAAUUAAAGUGUGAAAACUUAGUAAUUUAGAAUUCGAAACACAUACACUGUGUUAGUGGUUAUUUUUUUCUUCUCUAACUAUCAGAUCGGAUGGCAUAUCAGUCACACUUGUUUCGAUAUCUAUACGUCUAAAACAAUCACUAGAUAAAACAGAUAAAAAUAUUUAAGUCCUUACAUUGAAUAAAAAGUGAAGAAAAACAACCCAUUUUACAUUUCAGAUUCGAAUAAGAUUUGUAGUAGACCCAGAUGUACAUAUAAAAUUUGUAUACAUGUACAUAUACUCCGAUACGAAAAUAACAUGUUUAAAUAUCACGGGUUACAACGUGUAGAUAUCAAGGUGCUGUGUAGCGAAAUUUCAUAUGCUGCGCUCGAACGAAAAUGCGAUAUUACGAAAAAAAACGGCCGGUCCCUUGGCUUUUCGUAGGAUCGCGAUUGUACUGUAUAUGAUAUUGACUUGAAUGUUACUGCAAUUUUGACUAUAUAUAUUUGCAUCUAUGACUGUAUUUUUGACAUCUAUCAGAUUGCAGUUUGACUGUAUAAUAUUGCAUCUUUGACUGUUUGUUAUUGACUGGCAUGUUAUUGCAUUUUUGACUGUAUACUGUUGCAUCUUGGACCGUAUUAUUGCAUCUUUGACUGUAUUAUUGCCUCUUUGAAUGUAUCUUUUACUUUUAUGUUAUUGCAUCUUUGACUGUAUACUAUUCCAUAUUUGACUGUUUGUUAUUGACUGGUAUGUUAUUGCAUUUUUGACUAUAUAGUAUAAUUGCAUUUUUGGCGGUAUUAUUGACUUCUAUGUUAUUGCAGUUUUGACUGUAUAUUAUUGUAUCUUUGACUUCAUGUUAUCGACUGUGUGUUAUUGGCUGAUAUGCUAUUGCAUUUAUGUCUGUGUUAUUGAUUUAUAUAUUAUUUUUUGACUGUAUUUUAUUGCAUCUUUGAUGGUGUUAUUGACUAGUAUGAUUUUACAUUUUUGACUGUAUUAUUUCAUCUUUGUCUGUGUUAUUGACUGGUAUGUUAUUACGUUUUGAUUAUAUAUUAUUGCAUCUUUGACUGUGUUGCAUUUUGACUUUAUUUUAUUGCAACUUUGUCUGUGUUAUUGACUGGUAUGUUAUUGCAUUUUGACUAUAUAUUAAUACAGCUUUUGCUGUGUUAUUGACUGGCAUGAUAUUGCAUUUUUGACUGUAUGUUGUUGCAUCUUUGUCUGUCUUAUUGACUGGUAUGGUAUUGCAUUUUUGACUGAAUAUUAUUGCAUCUUUUACUGUGUAAUUGACGGGUAUGUUUUUGCAUUUUUGACUGUAUAUUAUUGCAUCUUUGACUUUGUUAUUGACUGGUAUGAUUUUGCAUUUUUGACUGUAUAUUAUUGAAUCUUUUACUGUGUUAUAGACUGCUAUGAAUUUGCAUUUUUGACUGUAUGUUAAUGCAUCUUUGACUGUGUUAUUGACUGGUAUGUUAUUGCAUUUUUGACUGAAUAUUAUUGCAUCUUUGACUGUGUUAUUAACUGGUAUGUUAUUACGUUUUGACUAUAUAUUAUUACAUUUUUGACUGUGUUGCAUUUUGGCUUUAUAUUAUUGCAACUUUUACUGUGUUAUUGACUGGCAUGAUUUUGCAUUUUUGACUGGUAUGUUAUUGCAUCUUUGACUUUGUUCUUGACUGGUAUGUUAUAGCAUUUUGACUGUAUAUUUUUGCAUUUUUUACUGUGUCAUUGACAGGUAUGAUUUUGCAUUUUUACUGUAUAUUAAUGCAGUUUUUACUGUGUUAUUGACUGGCAUGAUAUUGCAUUUUUGACUGUAUGUUGUUGCAUCUUUGACUUUGUUAUUGACCUAUAUGUUAUAGCAUUUUGACUGUAUAUUAUUUCAUUUUUGACUGUGUCAUUGACAGGUAUGAUUUUGCAGUUUGACUGUUUAUUGUUGCGUCUUUCGUUGUGUUAUUGACUGGUAUGUUAUUGCAUUUUUGACUGAAUAUUAUUGCAUCUUUGACUGUGUUAUUAACUGGUAUGUUAUUACGUUUUGACUAUAUAUUAUUACAUUUUUGACUGUGUUGCAUUUUGGCUUUAUAUUAUUGCAACUUUUACUGUGUUAUUGACUGGCAUGAUUUUGCAUUUUUGACUGGUAUGUUAUUGCAUCUUUGACUUUGUUCUUGACUGGUAUGUUAUAGCAUUUUGACUGUAUAUUUUUGCAUUUUUUACUGUGUCAUUGACAGGUAUGAUUUUGCAUUUUUACUGUAUAUUAAUGCAGUUUUUACUGUGUUAUUGACUGGCAUGAUAUUGCAUUUUUGACUGUAUGUUGUUGCAUCUUUGACUUUGUUAUUGACCUAUAUGUUAUAGCAUUUUGACUAUAUUAUUUCAUUUUUGACUGUGUCAUUGACAGGUAUGAUUUUGCAGUUUGACUGUUUAUUGUUGCGUCUUUCGUUGUGUUAUUGACUGGUAUGUUAUUGCAUUUUUGACUGAAUAUUAUUGCAUCUUUGACUUUGUUAUUGACUGGUAUGUUAUAGCAUUUUGACUGUAUAUUAUUGUAUUUUUGACUGUGUCAUUGACAGGUAUGAUUUUGCAUUUUUGACUGUAUAUUGUUGCAUUUUUUACUGUUUUAUUGACUGCUAUAAUUUUGCAUUUUUAACUGUAUGUUAUUGCAUUUUUGACUGUGUUAUUGACUAGUAUGUUAUUGCAUUUCUGACAGAAUAUUAUUGCAUCUUUGACUUUGUUAUUGACUGGUAUGUUAUAGCAUUUUGACUGUAUAUUAUUGCAUUUUUGACUGUGUCAUUGAGAGGUAUGAUUUUGCAUUUUUGACUGUAUAUUGUUGCAUUUUUGACGGUGUCAUUGACAGGUAUGAUUUUGCAUUUUUGACUGUAUAUUAUUGCAUUUUUGACUGUGUCAUUGACAGGUAUGAUUUUGCAUUUUUGACUGUAUAUUAUUGCAUUUUUGACUGUGUCAUUGACUGCUAUGAUUGUGCAUUUUUGACUGUAUGAUAUUACAUCUUUGACUGAUUUAUAUGUAUGUGCUUCACAGUAUUUAUAUUGGUCAAAAUGUCCAUCCAAAUAAAUUGGUAUAAUAUUCAA